UUAAUCAAACUCACCUUACAGCCAAUUGAUGUUGCUUCUGCACGACGUUACCGAGGAAAUAAUCACAUAUUUACCGCACGUUUCACUGCUGUUGCACGGCACUUCCUUCAUUAGCCAUUUGGCCUCAAACUGUCCACUCUUACCUGAAGUGGAGUUUUCCUGUCCAGUGGGAGCUCUGUGGACCGCGCCUGCUCGACUCUCCAACAACACGCACCUGAGAUACUAGCAAGGCUUCACUUCAGACAGCUGCUGUCUGUCAUUUGCCACAACACAUUAACAGCCCCCACUUUUUCCACGAGGCGUCAAGGAAGAUUGCCUGCAUGAAACAGACCCCGAAGAAACAAAACAAGUUGGAGCCCAUGUCUGCACCUCAAAAUAAACUGUCAAAAGCCACUUAAAUUCUGAUGUGCACUCCGAGGUGAAAGGUAAUCUUCAACUCCAUCAACCAAUCAGCAAAACAGAGUAACCUCCUCUUAUCUCCAGCAGUGCUGGGGGGGUGGGAUUCAUAAAUUGGUUUGAAGCGCCAAUUGCAGAGAAUCUGUCCGCAAAACGGCAUAGUGAAUCGAUAUGGCAGCAGCAUUAGAGAAGGUGGAGUGGGUCAGAUUGCUGUCUGCAUAUCUACACUGUAGUGCUGAACCAGCAUGCCACUUCACUCCGUAUGAUGGGGCAACAGAAAUACUCUCUUAUCAUUACAAGUAGGGCUGGGUGGUAUGAGAGACAGUAAAGACUUGUUAAUUAAACAGUGUUGUAAUGAUUCCUUAAUAAAGGCGAUGUAGUCAAUGAGCAAACAAAGCAACCUUUCUUCCACCAGCACUUACGAUGGUAGGACUUGCUUGAAGUGAAUAGAUCUGCACUUUCUUUGUUGUUUGGAGUUUGAUUCUCUAUGUAUGUUUGCACUUACUGUAAGUCGCUUUGGA
Molecule: long non-coding RNA, 917 nt
Organism: Eleginops maclovinus (Patagonian blennie)
Lineage: Eukaryota; Metazoa; Chordata; Actinopteri; Perciformes; Eleginopidae
Exons: 3
Source: RefSeq, a predicted model, not a curated record